Stegostoma tigrinum is the source of this 547-nucleotide long non-coding RNA. RefSeq lists it as uncharacterized. The record is from RefSeq and is a predicted model, not a curated record. NCBI's taxonomy places the organism in Eukaryota, Metazoa, Chordata, Chondrichthyes, Orectolobiformes, Stegostomatidae. The transcript is spliced from 3 exons.
AAUCAAGAUCGUGUAUCUGAAGUUCUCAACAAAGCCAUCACCGCGCUCAAAUUUGAACCCGAGGGUCCUCAGCAAUUUGCUCUCGCACAGAUCAUUGAAUCAAAUAAAGUGCUCAUACUUCCGGCCGAUGCCAUCCUGUAUUACGCAAUGAACAAGAAAGUGAAUCAUGACUUCAUCCUGAGAUUCACCGAAAGAAGAUCUUCAUGUCUAUGCAAGUUUUAGCUGCAAUGUUCGAGCCUCCUUCCCAAUGUGAAUCAAUGAGCUCUGGUGAGGAAGGGCGUUAGAGAGCUCACCGCCCUGAUUUUUGAGACGUCGUAUGUAUUUUAUUUCCUUCUCCUCCUGUAAAUCGCUUGGUGCUCGACAUAGGAUUCACUAAUUAGACAUUUACACAUAACCACUUUAAAAUUAAAAUGGUUCAACAUCGAGGCUAUCCCAACAAUACCAGCCACAGAUAGAAGAGAAAAUCAUCUGAGUUCUUUGUCUAAGUUUGUUUCUAAAAAUAGUGUUCAAUAAAUGUUUUCAAUGUUCUUACAUUUGUUUUAAAUUA